GGGAAGAUGGCUCAGUGGUAGAGUGCUUGCCUUGCAUGCAUGAGGCCCUGGGUUCGAUUCCUUAGCAUCACA
RNAcentral lists this transfer RNA (72 nucleotides) under Dipodomys ordii (Ord's kangaroo rat). It matches the Rfam family "tRNA". Rfam says of the family: Transfer RNA (tRNA) molecules are approximately 80 nucleotides in length. Their secondary structure includes four short double-helical elements and three loops (D, anti-codon, and T loops). Further hydrogen bonds mediate the characteristic L-shaped molecular structure. tRNAs have two regions of fundamental functional importance: the anti-codon, which is responsible for specific mRNA codon recognition, and the 3' end, to which the tRNAs corresponding amino acid is attached (by aminoacyl-tRNA synthetases). tRNAs cope with the degeneracy of the genetic code in two manners: having more than one tRNA (with a specific anti-codon) for a particular amino acid; and 'wobble' base-pairing, i.e. permitting non-standard base-pairing at the 3rd anti-codon position. Lineage: Eukaryota; Metazoa; Chordata; Mammalia; Rodentia; Heteromyidae. The record is from Rfam by way of RNAcentral.